AGGCAUGUGUCCGGUUGGUCGAGGAAGCGGUCUUGAAAACCGUUGGCUGUAAAAGGUUCGGGGGUUCGAUUCCCUCACAUGUCGUA
This 86-nucleotide transfer RNA is filed under the name Caudoviricetes sp. RNAcentral's name for it is "tRNA-Ser". It matches the Rfam family "tRNA". Rfam says of the family: Transfer RNA (tRNA) molecules are approximately 80 nucleotides in length. Their secondary structure includes four short double-helical elements and three loops (D, anti-codon, and T loops). The record is from RNAcentral. Lineage: Duplodnaviria; Heunggongvirae; Uroviricota; Caudoviricetes.